AACCCAUUCAAUAUUCAUAAUUCAUUCUUCCCAAGUUCCACUUCCACUCUUCUCUCUCCGUUGGCCUCGACUUUGUACUUCUCGAUCUGCCACUCAGCCGCUUAGGGAAGAUUCCACAUUUCUGCCGGCCUUCAACGUUCGAGCCCUAGAUGCAGUACCUUCAAGCCCUUGAACUUCUCUAGAUGCGACAGCCGACAGCAGUCCUUCGAAUCUACAUUUCCACGAUUCAACAGCAGAAGAAGAAGACUUAGAAGCCCCAGGCUUGUGAAGUCCUCGAGCCUAAUUCGAUGAAUACUGAAGCCUGCUCAAGUCUCUAUGUACUCUGCUUUGUUCAACGACCACCUCACUAUCAAUUUUGCCCUGCGGGACCUUUCGUUGCGACCAUGGUUAUUUGAACUCUCUCUUUCAUGAUACGGUGGUCGACCAAGCCAUAUCAUUAGCCCCAUGAUCACAGAUGAAUCACAUUCUUUGUUAAGCACUUUUUCUCAGCACAGACGGUCUAGCAUUAUCGCAGUACAUUAUCCAUGCAACACUACCACAUCAUCCGUUGUGUGGGCAAGUCAACUGGUUUUGCAACUUCAUGAAUAUCCAUGAUUUUGACAUCUUGUCUUCUACUUGCAGUUCUUAGCCUAGGUCAAUAAUCACAUUGGUCUAGGUUGCCAUGUUGAUAAUUUGCAUUAGCUCAGGAUUUGAGCGAGAAGGAUGAAGAGUCUUCUCAAAUUUCGGAUGAAGAAUUUCUAGUAAUUUGAUUUAUUUCCGUUUUGCAUUUAGAUACUUGCUCUAUCCUAUAAGAUUGUGAAUUUAAAAGGAGUCAACAUAAUUUCUUGUGUGAUGGACAAAGUGCAAUUUGUGCAAAUUUAGUGACCAUUUGAAAUUCA
This is a long non-coding RNA of Olea europaea var. sylvestris, 878 nucleotides long. RefSeq lists it as uncharacterized. The transcript is spliced from 3 exons. The record is from RefSeq and is a predicted model, not a curated record. NCBI's taxonomy places the organism in Eukaryota, Viridiplantae, Streptophyta, Magnoliopsida, Lamiales, Oleaceae.